Molecule: ribosomal RNA, 432 nt
Filed under: uncultured bacterium
Lineage: Bacteria
Description: partial 16S ribosomal RNA
Rfam family: Bacterial small subunit ribosomal RNA
Source: RNAcentral
ACGAACGCUGGCGGCAUGCCUAACACAUGCCAGUCGAACGAGACCUUCGGGUCUAGUGGCGCACGGGUGCGUAACGCGUGGGAACCUGCCCUUAGGUUCGGAAUAACUCCCCGAAAGGGGUGCUAAUACCGGAUAAUGUCUUCGGACCAAAGAUUUAUCGCCUUUGGAUGGGCCCGCGUUGGAUUAGCUAGUUGGUAGGGUAAAAGCCCACCAAGGCGACGAUCCAUAGCUGGUCUGAGAGGAUGAUCAGCCACACUGGGACUGAGACACGGCCCAGACUCCUACGGGAGGCAGCAGUGGGGAAUAUUGGACAAUGGGCGAAAGCCUGAUCCAGCAAUGCCGCGUGAGUGAUGAAGGCCUUAGGGUUGUAAAGCUCUUUUACCCGGGAUGAUAAUGACAGUACCGGGAGAAUAAGCUCCGGCUAACUCCGUG